This 225-nucleotide long non-coding RNA is filed under the name Homo sapiens (human). RNAcentral's name for it is "HSALNT0019904". Lineage: Eukaryota; Metazoa; Chordata; Mammalia; Primates; Hominidae. The record is from RNAcentral.
CAGUGCUCCGGGUCGCAGUGUCACACCACAACAAUUGGGAAAAUUGUUAGAACUGUAAUUUUUAAACUUCUUAUUAGUGGGAAAAGGGGGUUGUAAGUAGAGCCAAGCUGCCUGGACCCCUGCCUUUUUCCUAAGCCCUGGAUCCCUGUCGAUUCACCAGUGAGAUUUCCAUCCCAUCGAGGCUGAAUGUGAUGCCGCUUGUCUCCGUUUUUUGCACCCCUCUGU